RNAcentral lists this signal recognition particle RNA (88 nucleotides) under Polyangiaceae bacterium. RNAcentral's name for it is "signal recognition particle sRNA small type". It matches the Rfam family "Bacterial small signal recognition particle RNA". From Rfam's summary of the family: The signal recognition particle (SRP) is a universally conserved ribonucleoprotein involved in the co-translational targeting of proteins to membranes. Archaeal SRP consists of a 7S RNA and homologues of the eukaryotic SRP19 and SRP54 proteins. Lineage: Bacteria; Pseudomonadati; Myxococcota; Polyangiales; Polyangiaceae. The record is from RNAcentral.
UAUGGGCCUGCCGACAGCGCACCGUGAACCCCGCCAGGACCGGAAGGGAGCAACGGCAGCGGAGAGCGGGUGUGGCAGGCCCUUCCUU